AUAUGCGACUAUACAUAUCUGCA
Molecule: non-coding RNA, 23 nt
Filed under: Arabidopsis thaliana (thale cress)
Lineage: Eukaryota; Viridiplantae; Streptophyta; Magnoliopsida; Brassicales; Brassicaceae
Source: RNAcentral